Non-coding RNA from Ornithorhynchus anatinus (platypus), 128 nucleotides. The record is from Rfam. NCBI's taxonomy places the organism in Eukaryota, Metazoa, Chordata, Mammalia, Monotremata, Ornithorhynchidae.
CCGCGGUGAGGUCACGGCUCUGUGGCGGUGACAUCGCCACCGGUUGCCACGGAGAUGAAGGCUGAACCCCCCGAUCAGCGGCGUGACGACCGCCCUGCAAGGUUGCAGGGAAGCAGAUGGGCUGGGAG